Molecule: ribosomal RNA, 420 nt
Filed under: uncultured soil bacterium S0110
Lineage: Bacteria
Description: bacterial SSU rRNA
Rfam family: Bacterial small subunit ribosomal RNA
Source: RNAcentral
CAGACUCNUACGGGAGGCAGCAGUGGGGAAUUUUGCGCAAUGGGCUAACGCCCGACGCAGCAACGCCGCGUGGAGGAUGAAGGUCUUUGGAUUGUAAACUCCUGUCAGCAGGGAAAAAGCGACCUGACCUCAUACGUCAGGGAGUUGAUUGUACCUGCAGAGGAAGCCCCGGCUAACUCUGUGCCAGCAGCCGCGGUAAUACAGAGGGGGCAAGCGUUAUUCGGAAUUAUUGGGCGUAAAGGGCGCGUAGGCGGCUUGGCAAGUGGAAGGUGAAAUCCCUCGGCUCAACUGAGGAACUGCCUUCCAGACUGCUUAGCUUGAGACCAGGAGAGGUGAGUGGAAUUCCCAGUGUAGCGGUGAAAUGCGUAGAUAUUGGGAGGAACACCAGUGGCGAAGGCGGCUCACUGGACUGGUACUGAC